UACAGAGGUCUCGAGCGUUGUUCGGAUUCAUUGGGCGUAAAGGGUGCGUAGGCGGCGCGGUAAGUCGGGUGUGAAAUUUCGAGGCUUAACUUCGAAACUGCAUUCGAUACUGCCGUGCUAGAGGACUGGAGAGGAGACUGGAAUUUACGGUGUAGCGGUGAAAUGCGUAGAUAUCGUAAGGAAGACCAGUGGCGAAGGCGGGUCUCUGGACAGUUCCUGACGCUGAGGCACGAAGGCCAGGGGAGCAAACGGG
Molecule: ribosomal RNA, 253 nt
Filed under: uncultured bacterium
Lineage: Bacteria
Description: partial 16S ribosomal RNA
Rfam family: Bacterial small subunit ribosomal RNA
Source: RNAcentral